UAAUACAGAGAAGUCAGUCAAAGGACAGAGGGGACAUUUGGAUAAUUACCAUCUAUUGGCUAGUCAAUCACGCGAACAGAGAGAAACUGCACAAAACCCACAAUGGAGUUGGGAAACAAAAGAGACCCGAGCCAGACUCAGGAUUAACCGGUCUAAAGCGAUCUAAAUGCUUUUGUAUCUGAAGAACUGAGGCUCCCGGGUUGCCCCCCCCACACACACACCAACAAUCCCAGGGAACUAAUUGCGGGGAUCAGAGUUAAAGCUCUCUCCCUCCUUUCCCAUUUCUCUUUGUAGACUGCUCACCACGCAGAAAAAAAAAAAUGAUUUCUCUCUCUGUGUUCAUUAAACUAUUUUAAAGUUAAAGAGGUGGGGGAGGGGGAUAGAUGUAGCCCCUCAGUCCAGAAGCUGGGAUUCCUCUGCCGUCGAAGAGGCUGGGACAGUCUCGGUUGGUCUCAAUUCUUUGUUUCAGGGUAAAGUCUUCCUUGCUUGCCCCGUGGAAACAAAUGCCCCUUGCACCUGGGCUGCGGCUGGGCAGCUGCCCCUUUCCUGCGGGCUACUACGGAUUGCUGGUGCCCUGCUUUGGGUGAGGAGUCCCCACAGCUGGCCCCUGCACUAGAAAAACACAAGGUAGAUCCCUCCAGCUGAAGACAAAUUGAUCUGCACAGCCAGGAUUAUGGGGGUGAAGGGCAGCAUAGGAAUGGGUCUAGCCUUGGAAAUGGGAAAGUGAGCCACAGAAGGUGGUUCCAAAUUGUGGGGAGAGAGAAUUUCCUUUUAAACUGGGGAGUGAGAAAGAGGAAGAAAAUCCUUCUAAAUUGGAGGAGGGAGGGGAUGUGCUUAAUUGGGGAAGAGGAAUGGGAAAAGACUCCUGCUUGAGAAGAAGGGUGGCAAAGAGGUGAUUCCUCAAAAGAGACACUGGAAAAUAAUGUCUAUAAAAUUUUAGGGAUUCGGAGAGGAUAGUGACAGAGGAAGAGAAUUCCUUAAAAGAGAAAAAGAUCUGGACAGAAGAUCUCUGUACCUGAGCGUGAGACUCCCCCACGCUCCAGACAGAGCGGCAACUGCCAGCCACUUGCCACCAGGUCCUCCCUUUGACAAGCCCAACUCGCCCAAAGCCCUCCCGGCCCGACGGGGCCCUCCCGUGCUCCCGGCUCAGUGGCAGCGGCGGUUCCCGGUCCGGGUCCGCGGGUGCCUGCCGUGGCCCUCCCCGCACCACGCGCAGCCCUCCAGGCCCCCGGGGCGCGCCGAGGCGCUUCCUUACCUUGCUUCAGGGAUGUUUCCCGGACCGAGUGUGGCUUCAGAGUCAGAGAGAUGUGAGUUCAAGACCACUUGCUUAGGAGGAAGCAAAAGAGGAGGAGAAGGCAGAGGAAGGCGACGACUGAGAACAAAAGAAGAGCAGUGGCAAAGGAGUGGCUUUUGUGGACAAGAUGCGACCACCUCAUGAGGAUCAAGAUGUACUCCUUGCUCUUCUCUGCACAGCAGUCUCAAAACUAGGCUACACCGUCUGUCUCCUCUGGUCACCAUUUUGAGAGGCAGCAAGGGUCUUCCUAACCCUCAGCUCCCUCUGAUUUUUGGAAUUCAGAUUUGGAUUUUGGAUGUACAUCAAGAGGCUGGCUCCACGCAUUUUAAUUAAGUUGUCUUUUUUCAUUUAUUACUAAUACACUCCUCUUAACUAUGAUUUAUUGGUUAAACAAAGCACCAUAAGCCGUCACUUAUUCAUCUUAAUUUCAACAAAAUUAAAGUAGUCGCUGUUAGAUUGCACCUAAUUGCACUUGCAAUGAAAAGAACGGAGAUGUUAAUCAAAAUAAAUUGAAGAUAAACAAUAAAAUCAUUACAUCUUUGCGGU
This 1840-nucleotide long non-coding RNA is filed under the name Homo sapiens (human). RNAcentral's name for it is "HSALNT0155149". The record is from RNAcentral. Lineage: Eukaryota; Metazoa; Chordata; Mammalia; Primates; Hominidae.